GUGGGCUCUGGGUGGGGGAGGCUGGGGUCCCAAACCCGGGUAGCGGAAUGGCGGCCCCGCGUGGCUUGCGGGGAGGGACCCCUCUCAGCAGGGGCCGGAAGAGCAGGCCCACACCCAGUGGUCAUCGCAGGAACUUCACUCGAGCUGGUCUGCUUGUUAGCCUGUGGUUCGGAGAGGAGAAGACGCACUUCCCCAUGAGAAAAAGCAACAUUCUCAGCAAACCAUCUGAUGGCAACUCCUGUGAUCACAAAAGUCAAGUGCUGAUGGAAAUGAAGACCACAACCCCAAUACCUCAGGUGCCGGAUUGA
This 308-nucleotide long non-coding RNA is filed under the name Aotus nancymaae (Ma's night monkey). RNAcentral's name for it is "lncRNA (ENSANAG00000039227.1)". Lineage: Eukaryota; Metazoa; Chordata; Mammalia; Primates; Aotidae. The record is from RNAcentral.